RNAcentral lists this ribosomal RNA (426 nucleotides) under uncultured prokaryote. RNAcentral's name for it is "bacterial SSU rRNA". It matches the Rfam family "Bacterial small subunit ribosomal RNA", at positions 355 to 796 of the family's 1533-position model. The record is from RNAcentral.
UGGGGAAUUUUCCGCAAUGGGCUAAAGCCUGACGGAGCAAUACCGCGUGAGGGAGGAAGGCUUUUGAGUUGUAAACCUAUUUUCUCAAGGAAGAAGAUCUGACGGUACUUGAGGAAUCAGCAUCGGCUAACUCCGAGCCAGCAGCCGCGGUAAUACGGAGGAAGCAAGCGUUAUCCGGAAUGGUUGGGCGUAAAGCGUCUGCAGGUGGCUAUGCAAGUCUGCUGUUAAAGAGUGGAGCUCAACUCCAUAAGGGCAGUGGAAACUGCGUAACUAGAGUACGUUCGGGGUAGAGGGAAUUCCUGGUGUAGCGGUGAAAUGCGUAUAUAUCAGGAAGAACACCGGUGGCGAAAGCGCUCUACUAGGCCGUAACUGACACUGAGAGACGAAAGCUAAGGGAGCGAAUGGGAUUAGAUACCCCUGUAGUCC